This 301-nucleotide ribosomal RNA is filed under the name uncultured bacterium. Its description in RNAcentral is "partial 16S ribosomal RNA". It matches the Rfam family "Bacterial small subunit ribosomal RNA", at positions 509 to 807 of the family's 1533-position model. The record is from RNAcentral.
CAGUCGCCGCGGGAAUACGUAGGGUGCGAGCGUUAAUCGGAAUUACUGGGCGUAAAGCGUGCGCAGGCGGUUCGUUAAGACAGAUGUGAAAUCCCCGGGCUUAACAUGGGAACUGCAUUUGUGACUGGCGAGCUAGAGUAUGGCAGAGGGGGGUAGAAUUCCACGUGUAGCAGUGAAAUGCGUAGAGAUGUGGAGGAGUACCGAUGGCGAAGGCAGCCCCCUGGGCCAAUACUGACGCUCAUGCACGAAAGCGUGGGGAGCAGACAAGAUUAGAUACCCCCGUAGUCCCUGUCUCUUAUAC